This 520-nucleotide small RNA is filed under the name uncultured Glomus. Its description in RNAcentral is "SSU rRNA". It matches the Rfam family "Eukaryotic small subunit ribosomal RNA", at positions 569 to 1094 of the family's 1831-position model. The record is from RNAcentral. Lineage: Eukaryota; Fungi; Glomeromycota; Glomeromycetes; Glomerales; Glomeraceae.
AGCAGCCGCGGUAAUUCCAGCUCCAAUAGCGUAUAUUAAAGUUGUUGCAGUUAAAAAGCUCGUAGUUGAAUUUCGGGAUCAGUAUGUUGGUCGUGCUUCGGUACGUACUGUCAUUACUGGUUUCUACCUUCUGAAGAACCAUGAUGUCAUUAAUUUGGUGUCUUGGGGAAUCAGGACUGUUACUUUGAAAAAAUUAGAGUGUUUAAAGCAGGCUCGCGCUUGAAUACAUUAGCAUGGAAUAAUGAAAUAGGACGUUUGAUUCUAUUUUGUUGGUUUCUAGGAUCGACGUAAUGAUUAACAGGGAUAGUUGGGGGCAUUAGUAUUCAAUUGUCAGAGGUGAAAUUCUUGGAUUUAUUGAAGACUAACUACUGCGAAAGCAUUUGCCAAGGAUGUUUUCAUUAAUCAAGAACGAAAGUUAGGGGAUCGAAGACGAUCAGAUACCGUCGUAGUCUUAACCAUAAACUAUGCCGACUAGGGAUCGGAUGAUGUUAUUUUAAUGACUCAUUCGGCGCCUUACGGG